UUUUCUUUUCUUCUAUGUGAAGACCUUUUUUUCUUUUUGUUUUGAUUGGCCAAAAGAUGUUCAAUCAUUCCUUUGAACUCACUAAUGUCUUUGUCCCUUUGUUGGAACUUUUGUUCAAAUUCUUCUCUUAGUUGUGAGCCCUCACUACUAAAUUUCAUACUCCCUUGGACACUUGAUUGACUCAUUCUUGUCAAGUAGGAAAAAG
This 205-nucleotide long non-coding RNA is filed under the name Vigna radiata. Its description in RNAcentral is "long non-coding RNA (VRAD_LNC008547)". Lineage: Eukaryota; Viridiplantae; Streptophyta; Magnoliopsida; Fabales; Fabaceae. The record is from RNAcentral.